UAGUAAAGUCAGCUAACAAAGCU
This 23-nucleotide transfer RNA is filed under the name Brachyseps punctatus. RNAcentral describes it as "partial tRNA-Met". Lineage: Eukaryota; Metazoa; Chordata; Lepidosauria; Squamata; Scincidae. The record is from RNAcentral.